RNAcentral lists this ribosomal RNA (275 nucleotides) under uncultured bacterium. RNAcentral's name for it is "partial 16S ribosomal RNA". It matches the Rfam family "Bacterial small subunit ribosomal RNA", at positions 399 to 691 of the family's 1533-position model. The record is from RNAcentral.
GCGUGAAUGAAGAAGGCCUUAGGGUUGUAAAGUUCUUUCACCCGCGAAGAUGAUGACGGUAGCGGGAGAAGAAGCCCCGGCUAACUCCGUGCCAGCAGCCGCGGUAAUACGGAGGGGGCAAGCGUUGUUCGGAAUUACUGGGCGUAAAGGGUGCGCAGGCGGCGUCACCAGUCAGAUGUGAAAUCCCCGGGCUCAACCUGGGAACUGCAUUUGAUACUGUGAUGCUAGAGUUCGGGAGAGGGUAGUGGAAUUCCCAGUGUAGAGGUGAAAUUCGU